AUACGGAGGGUGCAAGCGUUAUCCGGAAUCACUGGGUUUAAAGGGUGCGUAGGCGGCCUGGUAAGUCAGAGGUGAAAUACACGAGCUUAACUGGUGAAUUGCCUUUGAAACUAUCAAGAUAGAAUUAUGUUGAGGUCAGCGGAAUGAGUCAUGUAGCGGUGAAAUGCAUAGAUAUGACUUAGAACACCAAUUGCGUAGGCAGCUGGCUAGGCAUUAAUUGACGCUGAGGCACGAAAGCGUGGGGAGCGAACAGGAUUAGAAACCCCUGUAGUCC
RNAcentral lists this ribosomal RNA (274 nucleotides) under uncultured bacterium. RNAcentral's name for it is "partial 16S ribosomal RNA". It matches the Rfam family "Bacterial small subunit ribosomal RNA", at positions 523 to 796 of the family's 1533-position model. The record is from RNAcentral.